CGGGGGGUAAGCGUUGUUCGGAUUACUGGCGUAAAGGGCUCGUAGGCGGCCAACUAAGUCAUACGUGAAAUCCCUCCAGCUUAACUGGGGAACUGCGUGUGAUACUGGAUGGCUUGGAUUUGGGAGAGGGAUGCGGAAUUCCAGGUGUAGCGGUGAAAUGCGUAGAUAUCUGGAGGAACACCGGCGGCGAAGGCGGCAUCCUGGACCAAUAUUGACGCUGAGGAGCGAAAGCUAGGGGAGCAAACGGGAUUAGAUACCCCGGUAGUCCUAGCCCUAAACGAUGAAUGCUUGGUGUAGCGGGUAUCGAUCCCUGCUGUGCCGAAGCUAACGCAUUAAGCAUUCCGCCUGGGGAGUACGGUCGCAAGGCUG
This 369-nucleotide ribosomal RNA is filed under the name uncultured organism. Its description in RNAcentral is "bacterial SSU rRNA". It matches the Rfam family "Bacterial small subunit ribosomal RNA", at positions 528 to 896 of the family's 1533-position model. The record is from RNAcentral.